CAUGGCAGCCAGUAUGACCUUUAGUUCCCUGCGUACUUGGGCCGCUCAGCGGCCCAUUUUUUUGCGCUUG
Molecule: unclassified non-coding RNA, 70 nt
Filed under: Chromohalobacter canadensis
Lineage: Bacteria; Pseudomonadati; Pseudomonadota; Gammaproteobacteria; Oceanospirillales; Halomonadaceae
Description: suhB
Source: RNAcentral